UUUCCGUAGGUGAACCUGCGGAAGGAUCAUUAUUGAGCUAAAAGUCUCUCAGACAGGUUUUGUUGAAAGAGAGCAGCUUGCGGGGACGCCACCGAGUGUGGCCGAUUGCCAGCUUUCUAGCUGAACGCAGUUGCCCUUAGCGAGAACAAACGAGACGCGUCUCCGAUCCGGGAAUGGGGCCCCGGACGGACGUGCUUGUUUUGGAAAGUAACCAACGGUCUUUCGGUUGGUGUCUGCGCUCGGUGCGAGUGACUGUCAAUCCGUCGGUCAUGCUUGAACAUCGGGAGACAGUUCGCUUUGGCCUUCAUCGGCCGAAGUUGAGCAGACUCAAUGAGCAUCAGCUAGGAUGCCGCCAACUAUUCGCCUAAACGAUGUUGAUAAUCGAGAGAAAGUUGGCCUAGUGUCGACUAAAAGGAUAACCACUCUAAGCGGUGGAUCACUCGGCUCGA
This 449-nucleotide unclassified non-coding RNA is filed under the name plant metagenome. Its description in RNAcentral is "partial contains small subunit ribosomal RNA, internal transcribed spacer 1, and 5.8S ribosomal RNA". The record is from RNAcentral.